UUGCAUCAAAUUUGUGCUGUCUGUAUGCAUU
RNAcentral lists this non-coding RNA (31 nucleotides) under Mus musculus (house mouse). The record is from RNAcentral. Lineage: Eukaryota; Metazoa; Chordata; Mammalia; Rodentia; Muridae.